UUUUAUAUAAGUUAUCUUUUAUUUUAUUUGACGAUGAAUUUAUUCAAUUCAUCUCAUUUUAAACUCGAUAUAAGUUAUCUGUAUUUUCAACGUUUCCCUCUGUUCUAAGGUUAUAGCCUAAAGUCGAUCCCACCUAAGGUUUCUAACCCUAAAGCUUUGAUACCAACCUGUGACGCCCCCAAAUCCGGGUACUUGAAACCCGAACUCGGUGCCUCACGAUACCAUUUCUAUAAG
RNAcentral lists this long non-coding RNA (234 nucleotides) under Panax ginseng (ginseng). RNAcentral's name for it is "long non-coding RNA (PGIN_LNC011866)". Lineage: Eukaryota; Viridiplantae; Streptophyta; Magnoliopsida; Apiales; Araliaceae. The record is from RNAcentral.